CCUGGUGGCUCAGAGGUUAAAGUGUCUGCUUGGAAUACAGGAGACCAGGGUUCGAUCCCUGGGUCAGGA
This 69-nucleotide transfer RNA is filed under the name Ovis aries (sheep). It matches the Rfam family "tRNA". Rfam says of the family: Transfer RNA (tRNA) molecules are approximately 80 nucleotides in length. Their secondary structure includes four short double-helical elements and three loops (D, anti-codon, and T loops). Lineage: Eukaryota; Metazoa; Chordata; Mammalia; Artiodactyla; Bovidae. The record is from Rfam by way of RNAcentral.